Long non-coding RNA from Malaclemys terrapin pileata, 1268 nucleotides. RefSeq lists it as uncharacterized. The transcript is spliced from 3 exons. The record is from RefSeq and is a predicted model, not a curated record. Lineage: Eukaryota; Metazoa; Chordata; Testudines; Emydidae.
UUCAUCUCUACUCGGCUCCACAUGGAAGCGAAGCAGGGUGGUGACUAGGGAGCCCUCCCCCCCCCCCUUCAGUCCCAGAAUAAAGGCAGGAACUAGCAUAGGGGUGGGCAAACUACAGCCCGCGGGCCAGAGCCGGCCCACCAGCCAUUUUAAUUUGGCCCUCGAGCUCCCGCUGGAGAGCAGGGUCUGGGGCUUGCACCCCUCCGGCGCUCCAGCCAGGGAGCAGGGUUAGGGGUCGUUCUACAUGGCUCCCGGAAGCAGUGGCAUGGCCCCUCUCUGGCUCCUAUGCUUAGGGGCAGCCAGGGGGCUCCACUCUGCAUGCUGCCCCUGCCCCAAGCACAGGCCCCACAGCUCACAUUGGCCAGGAACCGCAGCCAAUGGGAGCUGUAGAGGCGGUGCCUGCCGAUGGGGCAACAUGAAGAGCUGUCUGAUCGCACCUCCGCAAGGAGCCAGAGAUGGGACAUGCCGCUGCUUCUGGGAGCUGCUUGAGGUAAGUGCCACCUGGAGCCUCCACCCUUGAGCCUCUCCCCAUGCCCUAAACCCCUGCCCCAGCCCUGAUCGCCCUCCUGCCCUCUGAACCCUUUGGUCCCAGCCCAGAGCACCCUCCUACACCCUGAACUCAUUUCUGGCAGCACCCCAGAUCCUGCAUCCCCACCCAGAGCCCUCACCCCCUCCCACACCCCAAUCCCAAUUUUGUGAGCAUUCAUUGCCUGCCAUACAAUUUCUAUUCCCAGAUGUGGCCCUCAAGCCAAAAAGUUUGCCCACCCCUAAACUAGCAGCAAGUCUCAGUAGGAGUGCUCCGGGGUACAGCUUAACUGGGCUCCACUCCAUGUGGAAGCAGGUCAGGGAGAGGGAGGAGGGAGAAAGCCCUCCUCCUACUACAGUCCCAGAAUAGAGAAGCAGGCCCUUGUCCCAGCCUGGCUCCAAGCAGACACAGGAUAACGAGAGCUGGGAGGAACAGGGGGAGGAUUAAUUCUCCCUUUCCCAUGGUUCAGGCAGGCAAAGCAGAGUGAAUUCACAAAGGGAGGUGCAGGAGGCUCCCACAUGAAGAGACUGUUCCUGGCAUGCAAUAUCUUAGAAAGUUCUACAGAGAAUACUUGCAAAUGGUAGUAUAGCGAAAUCCGCCUUUGGGAAUGUGUCCCUGGGGAUCCCAGGAUCUGAAGAACUUGGGGGGUUGGACUACCUGCUUCUUCCAUGGUGUGGAAUGGGAAACCAACCCUUCCCCCUUAAUGGAUCAAUUUGGAGGAAACGCCACAAGGUUUUUCUCC